This 474-nucleotide ribosomal RNA is filed under the name uncultured bacterium. Its description in RNAcentral is "partial 16S ribosomal RNA". It matches the Rfam family "Bacterial small subunit ribosomal RNA", at positions 355 to 845 of the family's 1533-position model. The record is from RNAcentral.
UGGGGAAUAUUGCACAAUGGGCGAAAGCCUGAUGCAGCAACGCCGCGUGAGUGAUGAAGGUCUUCGGAUUGUAAAGCUCUGUCUUUUGGGACGAUAAUGACGGUACCAAAGGAGGAAGCCACGGCUAACUACGUGCCAGCAGCCGCGGUAAUACGUAGGUGGCGAGCGUUGUCCGGAUUUACUGGGCGUAAAGGGUGCGUAGGCGGAUGUUUAAGUGAGAUGUGAAAUACCCGGGCUUAACUUGGGUGCUGCAUUUCAAAGCUGGAUAUCUAGAGUGCAGGAGAGGAGAAUGGAAUUCCUAGUGUAGCGUGAAAUGCGUAGAGAUUAGGAAGAACACCAGUGGCGAAGGCGAUUCUCUGGACUGUAACUGACGCUGAGGCACGAAAGCGUGGGUAGCAAACAGGAUUAGAUACCCUGGUAGUCCACGCCGUAAACGAUGAGUACUAGGUGUAGGAGGUAUCGACCCCUUCUGUG